RNAcentral lists this ribosomal RNA (723 nucleotides) under bacterium. RNAcentral describes it as "bacterial SSU rRNA". It matches the Rfam family "Bacterial small subunit ribosomal RNA", at positions 612 to 1335 of the family's 1533-position model. The record is from RNAcentral.
ACCGGGGAGGGUCAUUGGAAACUGGGGAACUUGAGUGCAGAAGAGGAGAGUGGAAUUCCACGUGUAGCGGUGAAAUGCGUAGAGAUGUGGAGGAACACCAGUGGCGAAGGCGACUCUYUGGUCUGUAACUGACGCUGAGGAGCGAAAGCGUGGGGAGCGAACAGGAUUAGAUACCCUGGUAGUCCACGCCGUAAACGAUGAGUGCUAAGUGUUAGGGGGUUUCCGCCCCUUAGUGCUGCAGCUAACGCAUUAAGCACUCCGCCUGGGGAGUACGGUCGCAAGACUGAAACUCAAAGGAAUUGACGGGGGCCCGCACAAGCGGUGGAGCAUGUGGUUUAAUUCGAAGCAACGCGAAGAACCUUACCAGGUCUUGACAUCCUCUGACAAUCCUAGAGAUAGGACGUCCCCUUCGGGGGCAGAGUGACAGGUGGUGCAUGGUUGUCGUCAGCUCGUGUCGUGAGAUGUUGGGUUAAGUCCCGCAACGAGCGCAACCCUUGAUCUUAGUUGCCAGCAUUCAGUUGGGCACUCUAAGGUGACUGCCGGUGACAAACCGGAGGAAGGUGGGGAUGACGUCAAAUCAUCAUGCCCCUUAUGACCUGGGCUACACACGUGCUACAAUGGACAGAACAAAGGGCAGCGAAACCGCGAGGUUAAGCCAAUCCCACAAAUCUGUUCUCAGUUCGGAUCGCAGUCUGCAACUCGACUGCGUGAAGCUGGAAUCGC